This 406-nucleotide unclassified non-coding RNA is filed under the name soil metagenome. Its description in RNAcentral is "partial contains 5.8S ribosomal RNA, internal transcribed spacer 2, and large subunit ribosomal RNA". The stretch from base 1 to 121 matches the Rfam family "5.8S ribosomal RNA", at positions 35 to 154 of the family's 154-position model. The record is from RNAcentral.
GAUGAAGAACGCAGCGAAAUGCGAUAAGUAAUGUGAAUUGCAGAAUUCAGUGAAUCAUCGAAUCUUUGAACGCACCUUGCGCCCUUUGGCCAUUCCGAAGGGCAUGCCUGUUUGAGUAUCAUGAACACCUCAACUCUUUAUGGUUUUCCAUGAUGAGCUUGGACUCUGGGGGUUUUGCUGGCUCACAGUCGGCUCCUCUAAAAUGAAUCAGCUUACCAGUGUUUGGUGGGUAUCAUGGGUGUGAUAACUAUCUACGCUUGUGGUUUUUCCACCAGGUAACCUUCAGCAGUGGAGGUUCGCUGGAGCUCAUAGAUGUCUCUCCUCAGUGAGGACAGCCCUUUGAAUGUUUGAUCUCAAAUCAGGUAGGACUACCCGCUGAACUUAAGCAUAUCAAUAAGCGGAGGAA